RNAcentral lists this non-coding RNA (21 nucleotides) under Arabidopsis thaliana (thale cress). The record is from RNAcentral. Lineage: Eukaryota; Viridiplantae; Streptophyta; Magnoliopsida; Brassicales; Brassicaceae.
AUAUUUUCAGAUCUAUGGCUA